GAACAGGGCUCAGGGAAGUCCCAGGUGAUA
RNAcentral lists this non-coding RNA (30 nucleotides) under Homo sapiens (human). The record is from RNAcentral. Lineage: Eukaryota; Metazoa; Chordata; Mammalia; Primates; Hominidae.